GACGAACGCUGGCGGCGUGCUUAACACAUGCAAGUCGAACGAAGAGCGAUGGAAGCUUGCUUCUAUCAAUCUUAGUGGCGAACGGGUGAGUAACGCGUAAUCAACCUGCCCUUCAGAGGGGGACAACAGUUGGAAACGACUGCUAAUACCGCAUACGAUCUAAUCUCGGCAUCGAGGAUAGAUGAAAGGUGGCCUCUACAUGUAAGCUAUCACUGAAGGAGGGGAUUGCGUCUGAUUAGCUAGUUGGAGGGGUAACGGCCCACCAAGGCGAUGAUCAGUAGCCGGUCUGAGAGGAUGAACGGCCACAUUGGGACUGAGACACGGCCCAGACUCCUACGGGAGGCAGCAGUGGGGAAUCUUCCGCAAUGGACGAAAGUCUGACGGAGCAACGCCGCGUGAGUGAUGACGGCCUUCGGGUUGUAAAGCUCUGUUAAUCGGGACGAAAGGCCUUCUUGCGAAUAGUUAGAAGGAUUGACGGACCGAAUAGAAGCCAC
Molecule: ribosomal RNA, 494 nt
Filed under: Veillonella parvula
Lineage: Bacteria; Bacillati; Bacillota; Negativicutes; Veillonellales; Veillonellaceae
Description: bacterial SSU rRNA
Rfam family: Bacterial small subunit ribosomal RNA
Source: RNAcentral